RNAcentral lists this small RNA (102 nucleotides) under bovine gut metagenome. Its description in RNAcentral is "RT-5 RNA". It matches the Rfam family "RT-5 RNA". Rfam says of the family: Clostridium (Firmicutes). The record is from RNAcentral.
UUGCGCCUGCGGCGGACCCGGCACUGCCUUUUCAGGCUUCGCAGGCAGUCGGCAGAGGUACGGUCCGGUACAUCCAUGAAUUUCAUGGAUUUAAUUUCUUCU